Molecule: long non-coding RNA, 357 nt
Organism: Ixodes scapularis (black-legged tick)
Lineage: Eukaryota; Metazoa; Arthropoda; Arachnida; Ixodida; Ixodidae
Exons: 3
Source: RefSeq, a predicted model, not a curated record
CCAGAAUCUGCCUUUACGGCCACUGGACAAGCCCCCGAAGCUGCGACAGCCCCUGAAGCCGCGGGCAGGUGUGGACACAUGCAAGCCUCGCCCCAAGGAUGACCUGCCAGCAGCAGUUACAUUGGCAGGGCUGAACUCCGAAGAAGCCAGCACCAGUGAGGGUUUGAUUGAGCAGGAACUACCCAACCAGGAUGCCGAUGCUGCAGAUCCCAUUGGUCUUCAGGCUGAACUUCACACCUUGAAGAAAGAUGUCGGAAGUCAAGCGGACACACUACAGCUUGAGAAAGAUCAAGUGCUCGGGAUAGCACGGGUUAAGAAUGAACCGGCCCUCGUAUCACUGACCUGCAUACCCUGUUU